Molecule: ribosomal RNA, 406 nt
Filed under: uncultured bacterium
Lineage: Bacteria
Description: partial 16S ribosomal RNA
Rfam family: Bacterial small subunit ribosomal RNA
Source: RNAcentral
AUUGAACGCUGGCGGCAGGCUUAACACAUGCAAGUCGAACGAGUGGCGGACGGGUGAGUAAUGUCUGGGAAACUGCCUGAUGGAGGGGGAUAACUCCUGGAAACGGUCGCUAAUACCGCAUACCAUCAGAUGUGCCCAGCUGGGAUUAGCUUGUUGGUGGGGUAACGGCUCACCAAGGCGACGAUCCCUAGCUGGUCUGAGAGGAUGAGCGGCAAGACUGGAACUGAGACACGGUCGAGACGCAUACGGGAGGAAGCAGUGGGGAAUAUUGCACAAUGGGCGCAAGCCUGAUGCAGCCAUGCCGCGUGUAUGAAGAAGGCGUUAGGGUUGGAAAGUACUUUCAGCGGGGAGGCGUUACCCGAAGAAGAAGCACCGGCUAACUCCGUGCCAGCAGCCGCGGUAAUAC